GGCCCCUCGGUCCAGCCGGGAGUGGACGCCUCAUUGUCGAUGAGGAGAUCGCCGGUUCAAGUCCGGCAGGGGUCG
This 75-nucleotide transfer RNA is filed under the name Pseudomonadota bacterium. RNAcentral describes it as "Proteobacteria bacterium (cold seep metagenome) tRNA-Asp". It matches the Rfam family "tRNA". Rfam says of the family: Transfer RNA (tRNA) molecules are approximately 80 nucleotides in length. Their secondary structure includes four short double-helical elements and three loops (D, anti-codon, and T loops). Further hydrogen bonds mediate the characteristic L-shaped molecular structure. tRNAs have two regions of fundamental functional importance: the anti-codon, which is responsible for specific mRNA codon recognition, and the 3' end, to which the tRNAs corresponding amino acid is attached (by aminoacyl-tRNA synthetases). tRNAs cope with the degeneracy of the genetic code in two manners: having more than one tRNA (with a specific anti-codon) for a particular amino acid; and 'wobble' base-pairing, i.e. permitting non-standard base-pairing at the 3rd anti-codon position. The record is from RNAcentral. Lineage: Bacteria; Pseudomonadati; Pseudomonadota.